Molecule: non-coding RNA, 207 nt
Filed under: unclassified sequences
Description: manA RNA
Rfam family: manA RNA
About the family: manA RNA has been located in 5'UTR regions of genes of mannose or fructose metabolism. Has been proposed as a cis-regulatory element and as a riboswitch candidate for his complex secondary structure.
Source: RNAcentral
UGCUAGUUGACGGACUAGUACGGUAGUGACGGAAAGCCCCUCCUCCGGGGCAACGUGCAAUAUUCCCUGUCGUGGGGCAAUCACACCUAGAGAUAGGAGUCGUUGUAAAGGACACUAACGAGUCUAAUAUUGGCGGUUUCGGUAAUUCUGCAAUUAUGUAGGGGGACAGGAAACUUCCGGGUAUACAUUAGCCCCGGCUACCACCAA